This 884-nucleotide ribosomal RNA is filed under the name Microbacterium oxydans. Its description in RNAcentral is "bacterial SSU rRNA". It matches the Rfam family "Bacterial small subunit ribosomal RNA", at positions 556 to 1441 of the family's 1533-position model. The record is from RNAcentral. Lineage: Bacteria; Bacillati; Actinomycetota; Actinomycetes; Micrococcales; Microbacteriaceae.
GGGCGUAAAGAGCUCGUAGGCGGUUUGUCGCGUCUGCUGUGAAAUCCGGAGGCUCAACCUCCGGCCUGCAGUGGGUACGGGCAGACUAGAGUGCGGUAGGGGAGAUUGGAAUUCCUGGUGUAGCGGUGGAAUGCGCAGAUAUCAGGAGGAACACCGAUGGCGAAGGCAGAUCUCUGGGCCGUAACUGACGCUGAGGAGCGAAAGGGUGGGGAGCAAACAGGCUUAGAUACCCUGGUAGUCCACCCCGUAAACGUUGGGAACUAGUUGUGGGGUCCAUUCCACGGAUUCCGUGACGCAGCUAACGCAUUAAGUUCCCCGCCUGGGGAGUACGGCCGCAAGGCUAAAACUCAAAGGAAUUGACGGGGACCCGCACAAGCGGCGGAGCAUGCGGAUUAAUUCGAUGCAACGCGAAGAACCUUACCAAGGCUUGACAUAUACGAGAACGGGCCAGAAAUGGUCAACUCUUUGGACACUCGUAAACAGGUGGUGCAUGGUUGUCGUCAGCUCGUGUCGUGAGAUGUUGGGUUAAGUCCCGCAACGAGCGCAACCCUCGUUCUAUGUUGCCAGCACGUAAUGGUGGGAACUCAUGGGAUACUGCCGGGGUCAACUCGGAGGAAGGUGGGGAUGACGUCAAAUCAUCAUGCCCCUUAUGUCUUGGGCUUCACGCAUGCUACAAUGGCCGGUACAAAGGGCUGCAUACCGCGAGGUGGAGCGAAUCCCAAAAGCCGGUCCCAGUUCGGAUUGAGGUCUGCAACUCGACCUCAUGAAGUCGGAGUCGCUAGUAAUCGCAGAUCAGCACGCUGCGGUGAAUACGUUCCCGGGUCUUGUACCCACCGCCCGUCAAGUCAUGAAAGUCGUAACACCUGAAGCCGGUGGCCUAACCC